GUGCGCCCCGCCCCCCAUCGGGGGCAACCAUUGUUCCGCCGGUCGCGCCGGUCGCGCCGGAGCUGGGUUGCUCCUGUGCCCGUCUCCAAGUCCUGGUACCUCCUUCAAGCUGGGAGAGGGCUCUAGUCCCUGGUUCUGAACACUCUGGGGUUCUCGGGUGCAGGCCGCCAUGAGCAAACGGAAGGCGCCGCAGGAGACUCUCAACGGGGGAAUCACCGACAUGCUCACAGAACUCGCAAACUUUGAGAAGAACGUGAGCCAAGCUAUCCACAAGUACAAUGCUUACAGAAAAGCAGCAUCUGUUAUAGCAAAAUACCCACACAAAAUAAAGAGUGGAGCUGAAGCUAAGAAAUUGCCUGGAGUAGGAACAAAAAUUGCUGAAAAGAUUGAUGAGUUUUUAGCAACUGGAAAAUUACGUAAACUGGAAAAGACUUUUUUUUUCUUAAAGAUUCGGCAGGAUGAUACGAGUUCAUCCAUCAAUUUCCUGACUCGAGUUAGUGGCAUUGGUCCAUCUGCUGCAAGGAAGUUUGUAGAUGAAGGAAUUAAAACACUAGAAGGCUCACAGCUGGAUUCAUGCCCGGUAAAGGGACACCUGAAUGGAACUGAGUCACUUUUAGACUUAAUAUGGGAUGUUAUGACAAUUCUUAAGUUAAAAAAUGCAGAUCUCAGAAAAAAUGAAGAUAAAUUGAACCAUCAUCAGCGAAUUGGGCUGAAAUAUUUUGGGGACUUUGAAAAAAGAAUUCCUCGUGAAGAGAUGUUACAAAUGCAAGAUAUUGUACUAAAUGAAGUUAAAAAAGUGGAUUCUGAAUACAUUGCUACGGUCUGUGGCAGUUUCAGAAGAGGUGCAGAGUCCAGUGGUGACAUGGAUGUUCUCCUGACCCAUCCCAGCUUCACUUCAGAAUCAACCAAACAGCCAAAACUGUUACAUCAGGUUGUGGAGCAGUUACAAAAGGUUCAUUUUAUCACAGAUACCCUGUCGAAGGGUGAGACAAAGUUCAUGGAAGAGAAGCACUCGAGGUCAACUUUCAAAUCAAUUUUAGAGACAGGGUGUUUGCCAGCUUCCCAGUAAAAAUGAUGAAAAAGAAUAUCCACACAGAAGAAUUGAUAUCAGGUUGAUACCCAAAGAUCAGUAUUACUGUGGUGUUCUCUAUUUCACUGGGAGUGAUAUUUUCAAUAAGAAUAUGAGGGCUCAUGCCCUAGAAAAGGGUUUCACAAUCAAUGAGUAUACCAUCCGUCCUUUGGGAGUCACUGGAGUUGCAGGAGAACCCCUGCCAGUGGAUAGUGAAAAAGACAUCUUUGAUUACAUCCAGUGGAAAUACCGGGAACCCAAGGACCGGAGCGAAUGAGGCCUGUAUCCUCCCUGGCAGACACAACCCAAUAGGAGUCUUAAUUUAUUUCUUAACCUUUGCUAUGUAAGGGUCUUUGGUGUUUUUAAAUGAUUGUUUCUUCAUGCUUUUGCUUGCAAUGUAGUCAAUAAAACCUCAUGUACUAUUA
RNA transcript from Pan troglodytes (chimpanzee), 1494 nucleotides. It is a transcript of the gene named DNA polymerase beta, with no coding region annotated. The transcript has 16 exons. Lineage: Eukaryota; Metazoa; Chordata; Mammalia; Primates; Hominidae. The record is from RefSeq and is a predicted model, not a curated record.